GCACAAUGACAAACCGAGCAUAGCUCGC
Molecule: small RNA, 28 nt
Filed under: Bombyx mori (domestic silkworm)
Lineage: Eukaryota; Metazoa; Arthropoda; Insecta; Lepidoptera; Bombycidae
Description: ovarian small RNA-16283
Source: RNAcentral